This 532-nucleotide ribosomal RNA is filed under the name uncultured bacterium. RNAcentral describes it as "partial 16S ribosomal RNA". It matches the Rfam family "Bacterial small subunit ribosomal RNA", at positions 355 to 874 of the family's 1533-position model. The record is from RNAcentral.
UGGGGAAUAUUGCACAAUGGGCGCAAGCCUGAUGCAGCCAUGCCGCGUGUGUGAAGAAGGCCUUCGGGUUGUAAAGCACUUUCAGCGAGGAGGAAGGUGGUGAACUUAAUACGUUCAUCAAUUGACGUUACUCGCAGAAGAAGCACCGGCUAACUCCGUGCCAGCAGCCGCGGUAAUACGGAGGGUGCAAGCGUUAAUCGGAAUUACUGGGCGUAAAGCGCACGCAGGCGGUUUGUUAAGUCAGAUGUGAAAUCCCCGGGCUCAACCUGGGAACUGCAUUUGAAACUGGCAAGCUAGAGUCUCGUAGAGGGGGGUAGAAUUCCAGGUGUAGCGGUGAAAUGCGUAGAGAUCUGGAGGAAUACCGGUGGCGAAGGCGGCCCCCCUGGACGAAGACUGACGCUCAGGUGCGAAAAGCGUGGGGAGCAAAACAGGAUUAGAUACCCUGGUAGUCCACGCUGUAAAACGAUGUCGAUUUGGAGGUUGUGCCCCUUGAGGCGUGGCUUCCGGAGCUAACGCGUUAAAUCGACCGCCU